AACGAACGCUGGCUGCAGGCUUAACACAUGCAAGUCGAGCGCCCCGCGAGGUGAGCGCCUGCCGUGAGAGUAACGCGUGGGAACGUACCCUUAUCUUCGCGUAAGCUCCCGGCAACUUGAAUUAAUACCGCCUGUGCCCUGUGGGGGAAAGAUUUAUCGGGUAAGGAUCGCCCCACGUUGGAUUAGCCAGUUGGCGGGGUAAAGGGCUACCAAGGCGAAGAGCCAUGGCUGUUCUGAGAGGAUGAUCAGCCACAUUGGGACUGAGACACGGCCCAAAAUCCUACGGGAGGCAGCAGUGGGGAAUAUUGGACAAUGGGCGCAAGCCUGAUCCAGCCAUGCCGCGUGAGUGAUGAAGGCCUUAGGGUUGUAAAGCUCUUUCAACGGGGAAGAUAAUGAAGGUAUCCGAAGAAGAAGCCCCGGCUAACUUCGUG
RNAcentral lists this ribosomal RNA (431 nucleotides) under uncultured bacterium. Its description in RNAcentral is "partial 16S ribosomal RNA". It matches the Rfam family "Bacterial small subunit ribosomal RNA", at positions 29 to 507 of the family's 1533-position model. The record is from RNAcentral.